Molecule: long non-coding RNA, 1078 nt
Organism: Mus musculus (house mouse)
Lineage: Eukaryota; Metazoa; Chordata; Mammalia; Rodentia; Muridae
Product: predicted gene, 26910
Exons: 2
Source: RefSeq, marked validated
GCUUCCGGCGUGGCGGCGUCGGCGGCUGCGGCUCGCACGCGCCUCGGUCCGGGCUAAUCCCUUCUGCGCCGCCUCCCUCCCCUCCCGGCCGGGCAGCGGCGAGUGCCGCGCGCACCUUGACGCUCUGAUCGCUGGAGCAGGUGGCCAUCCGGCGCCCGUGGAAGUCGAAAGACACAUCGUGGAUGAGGUCCUUGUGGUCCGCCGCGAUGCUGCGCGCCACAAACAUGGCCGCCGCCGUCUGCCGGGCCCGCCUCCGAGAGGGCGGCGGUGCGGCCCGCAGCCCCCGGACCACCGCGGAGGCACGUACGGCACGUCGGCCCUCGCCUGCCCGCCCGCGUCGGCCCCGGCGCGCCACGCCCCGAGGGACACGCCCUGCGCGGGCGGAGCCUGCGUCCGGACCUCGCUGCAGCAGCAGACGAAGCUGGGAGACGGAGGAUGGAAAAGUGAAAGCACCUUCCGGGGUCAGCCUGGGGGUGUGCGCCUCCGAAAACACGUGAUCCGUGCACAGAGCUAGUAGACACUUCCCGCAGCCAAUUUGAGUGGGUGGUUCAACCGCGUAACCAGAGCUUCUUAGGAAUGAUGGGGACGCCCAAAGUUGUGGCUUAGGGAGUCCCGCUCAGCGAGUGCAAAGUCCGCCCGAAGGAUGAAAUUGAAGAGGAGUGGAGAACCUGAAGCAGCAGUCAGUGAUGAAAGAUGGCACAAGUACAGCAGGCUCAAGGGUGUCAGCAAAACAGAAUGUGGAAAAAGACUUUCUAGAAAGUCACCUGGGGUGAUGGCAAGACCCAGAAGGAUAUCCAAUAUUUACUUGAAUGGAGCCAGUCUUUAAUGGAGAAUUCCAGCUCCAGAGAAUCUGAAACAUCUGGAUUCCUUGAGGAUCUUCACUCUUCCUGCACACAACAGAUAAACAUACACACAGAGACAUAAAUAAAAGUAAUCCUUUCUGAGAUUUUAUUCCUAUUUUAGAGGUAGAGCCCAGGUCCAUCAGCUGUGUGUAAAACUAAUAACUAUUCAUUAAUUCCCAGAAACAAAACACACUAUAAUAAAAAAGUACAAUUAAGUCUAUACUUUUAAAAGUAAA